RNAcentral lists this ribosomal RNA (52 nucleotides) under Fusarium solani. Its description in RNAcentral is "partial 28S ribosomal RNA". Lineage: Eukaryota; Fungi; Ascomycota; Sordariomycetes; Hypocreales; Nectriaceae. The record is from RNAcentral.
GUUGACCUCGAAUCAGGUAGGAAUACCCGCUGAACUUAAGCAUAUCAAUAAG